UACGAAGGGUGCAAGCGUUAAUCGGAAUUACUGGGCGUAAAGCGCGUGUAGGCGGUUGCUUAAGUUGGAUGUGAAAUCCCCGGCGUACCUGGACUGCAUUCAAUACUGGGCGAACUGGAGUCUGAGAGAGGAGGGUGGAAUUUCCGGUGUAGCAGUGAAAUGCGUAGAGAUCGGAAGGAACACCAGUGGCGAAGGCGGCCCUCUGGCUCAGGACUGACGCUGAGACGCGAAAGCGUGGGGAGCAAACAGGAUUAGAAA
This 258-nucleotide ribosomal RNA is filed under the name uncultured bacterium. RNAcentral describes it as "partial 16S ribosomal RNA". It matches the Rfam family "Bacterial small subunit ribosomal RNA", at positions 524 to 784 of the family's 1533-position model. The record is from RNAcentral.